RNAcentral lists this long non-coding RNA (751 nucleotides) under Gallus gallus (chicken). RNAcentral describes it as "long non-coding RNA NONGGAT007812". Lineage: Eukaryota; Metazoa; Chordata; Aves; Galliformes; Phasianidae. The record is from RNAcentral.
AGUUGGUGCUGGCCUUAAAAGAUUGUAAAUGAGAUUGACACACACGCCUACUCUGGGCUUGCAGAGGUCAACUGAUCACGCCAUGCAUGUGAAAUUGAAUGGUCUGUGAUGCUGUGUUAUUGCAAAAAUUGGGUCUGCUCUCUGGAAUGGAGAGGGACUGGUUUUUUUUUUCUGGAGAGGAUAUGAGCAUUAUGGUUCCUCUCCUUGUUCUGGGCAUCUGGAUUCAGUGUAUGCUCUGUUCACCUGGCCAAGGAAUUCCUUUGUUGGUGGUUUCAGCAAGAUGGAAGAAUUCUUUAGCUUUGUAUGGAGUGGAUGCAGAUGAUCACUGGCAUGUACUUCAGGAAGAUGGAGAGGAGGGAGGUGGUACUUCAUGAGAAGGAAUUUCUGCAAAUCAGAGCCAAAGACACAGACUCAAGGCUUCCCAACCCAGGAACAGACUUCCAAGGUACACCUUUCUGACCCAGUGGUUUGCAAUAUCCCCAGCCUGGGGAUGUUAGGGAUCCACAGAAAGGCAUCCCAGAGUCUGGCCUCCAAUUUGGUCCUCUCCAUGAAACGUUCAAGAUUUGAAGAAAGCAGCUGUUGAGCUGACACUCAGCUACACGAGUCUUCACGAACACUGGAGACCAACCAGCCUCACUGCAAAUUCACCCAUCACCAAUUCAUGGAGUUUUCUUAUGGGUCCAGCAGUGAGAAUGCAUGAAAGGUCUCAGGCGGAGGCCACCAUCCUUGCUGCUCAACCAGUAGACAGUGA